AUACGAAGGGGGCUAGCGUUGUUCGGAAUCACUGGGCGUAAAGCGCGCGUAGGUGGACUAAUCAGUUGAGGGUGAAAUCCCGGGGCUCAACCUCGGAACUGCCUUCAAUACUGUUAGUCUUGAGACCGAGAGAGGGGAGUGGAAUUCCUAGUGUAGAGGUGAAAUUCGUAGAUAUUAGGAAGAACACCAGUGGCGAAGGCGGCUCACUGGCUCGGUACUGACGCUGAGGUGCGAAAGCGUGGGGAGCAAACAGGAUUAGAUACCCUAGUAGUCC
This 274-nucleotide ribosomal RNA is filed under the name uncultured bacterium. RNAcentral describes it as "partial 16S ribosomal RNA". It matches the Rfam family "Bacterial small subunit ribosomal RNA", at positions 523 to 796 of the family's 1533-position model. The record is from RNAcentral.